Long non-coding RNA from Lycium barbarum (goji berry), 537 nucleotides. RefSeq lists it as uncharacterized. The record is from RefSeq and is a predicted model, not a curated record. Lineage: Eukaryota; Viridiplantae; Streptophyta; Magnoliopsida; Solanales; Solanaceae. The transcript is spliced from 3 exons.
CUUUACAUAGAUUGAAUAAUUAAGGACUUAAAUUUGUUUCUUUAGAAGGAAAGGAGUGGGCCAAGUCACCCCAUAUUUCAGGCCACAUUUAGAGAGGUUAUUAGGGAUUAAAAAAUUUCUGGUAUUAAGGACGGCGUAACAUCAAGGGUUUUGGCAACAUUAACCGAGAGAAGGGAGAAGUAGAAUUUCCAAGUUUACAUCAUAUUCAGAUUUUGAUCGUUCAGAGGCUCUACGCAAGGGGAAGACAGUAGUUUGAUUGUUCGUGGCAUCCGCUCGGCAUUGAGAUUACGAUCCAGGCUCCAGUUCUACACCCUGUGGCUGAUACGCGAGGGUGACAUCUUUCCGUCAUUCAGGGUGAGCUACUUGAUUAUCCGUGGCCGAUGAAGGACCUCCUCUAUUUAUUUCUGUUUUUAUAUCCGACAGACAAUAUGUAACCUUCGGGUAUUUUCAGACUUCUAUUCCGUACUAUGUUAGCGCUCUUGUACCCUUUGACCAGAUUUUGGGAUUAUCGUGACAUUUCUAGUGAUGAUAAGUAUU